CCUACGGGUGGCAGCAGUGAGGAAUAUUGGUCAAUGGACGCAAGUCUGAACCAGCCAAGCCGCGUGCAGGAAGACGGCUCUAUGAGUUGUAAACUUCUUUUGUACGAGGGUAAACGCAGAUACGUGUACCUGUCUGAAAGUAUCUUAUGAAUAAGGAUCGGCUAACUCCGUGCCAGCAGCCGCGGUAAUACGGAGGAUUCAAGCGUUAUCCGGAUUUAUUGGGUUUAAAGGGUGCGUAGGCGGUCGGAUAAGUUAGUGGUGAAAGUCUGAGGCUCAACUUUGGAAUUGCCUUUGAUACUGUGCGGCUAGAGAGUAGUUGCGGUAGGCGGAAUGUGUGGUGUAGCGGUGAAAUGCUUAGAGAUCAUACAGAACACCGAUUGCGAAGGCAGCUUACCAAGCUACGUCUGACGUUGAGGCACGAAAGCGUGGGGAGCAAACAGGAUUAGAUACCCGAGUAGUC
Molecule: ribosomal RNA, 460 nt
Filed under: uncultured bacterium
Lineage: Bacteria
Description: partial 16S ribosomal RNA
Rfam family: Bacterial small subunit ribosomal RNA
Source: RNAcentral